GCGCAAAGUGCAGUUCAAAUGCUUAACAAUGGAAUCAAACGUUUUACAAAAAUGGAAGGAGAAAUCUAUUGACACUGUUUUGAGAGGAGGAAACAGUGUGAUUGACGAUAUCUUGGACUCCUUACAUUACAAAGCAUGGUUUGUCCCUUGAACAUCAUGGACUGUAGUUGAAUAAACAAAUAAAAUCUCAGACCAGGCACUUCCCAAAUCAUCUCAUUUCUGCAAAUUUACUCCUGACAAUUGAAGCUAAUUGCUACCGUCAGAUCUAAGUAUAGUCUUCAUCAUCAGAAUAAACGCAACGUUCAUUAUUUUCACUUUUUUGAAAGCUCACAACCUACAACUCUCAAUCAGUUUUUAGCCUCGGCUUAUUACACAUUAUAACAGAUUAACAGAAUAGGAGAUAGGUUGAACCUUAUGUGUCAUGGUUGCAAAAUAUGACAAACUCGAGAGGAGAGAAGCAACUGGGAGAUAUAAAUAACUACUAAGUACUAACAAAAUGCAGAGUAGAACCAGUCCGAGAUGUCUAUCCCUUUCCAAAAUGCAGAAACAUUAUCUCGAAUGUUUAAUCAGAGCUCUGCUCAUCCAUAAGGAUUCUAAUUAGAAAAGAGAACCAUUAUGUACCCAAAAAAAAGAAAAAGAAAGAGAAUCAUUAAAAUGUUGACAUACCAAAUUCAAAUUGUGCUCUCUCAUCUUAAUUGACACCCAGCCCGCAUUAAUAUUCUAAAACAAAAUGGUACAAUUUAUUCUCACAAUUUCACCAGGUAAUGUUCUGGUUCCGGUUCCUUAAUCCUUAUCAUUUAUUUCUUUGGCAAACAGCAGCAUUUAUUUUGUUGUUCUUUCUCUUUCCAUGCCACUCAAGCAUUGAGUACCACAGAAUAUAUAGAAUUAUGAAGGCUUGUUCUGAAUCGGCCUUAGACGUCCUUAAGCCAAAGGUCGUAUCAGGAGCCAGCCUAAAGUUGGCCUCAAGCUCA
RNAcentral lists this long non-coding RNA (971 nucleotides) under Trifolium pratense (red clover). RNAcentral describes it as "long non-coding RNA (TPRA_LNC002854)". The record is from RNAcentral. Lineage: Eukaryota; Viridiplantae; Streptophyta; Magnoliopsida; Fabales; Fabaceae.